UACGGAGGGUGCAAGCGUUAUCCGGAUUCACUGGGUUUAAAGGGUGCGUAGGCGGGCAGGUAAGUCAGUGGUGAAAUCUCCGAGCUUAACUCGGAAACUGCCGUUGAUACUAUCUGUCUUGAAUAUUGUGGAGGUAAGCGGAAUAUGUCAUGUAGCGGUGAAAUGCUUAGAUAUGACAUAGAACACCUAUUGCGAAGGCAGCUACUUACGCAAAUCAUUGACGCUGAGGCACGAAAGCGUGAGGAUCAAAACAGG
Molecule: ribosomal RNA, 255 nt
Filed under: uncultured bacterium
Lineage: Bacteria
Description: partial 16S ribosomal RNA
Rfam family: Bacterial small subunit ribosomal RNA
Source: RNAcentral